AGGGUCAGUAAUGCGAUCGAAUUGACCGAGGUGGGGAUAGUCGGGGAAACCCGGCGUAAUACCCCAUGUGCUCUCCGGAGCAAGAUCAUCGCCUUGGGAGCAGCGGUCGUCCUAUCAGGUAGUUGGCGGGUAAAAGCCCACCAAGCCGAAACGGGUAGCGGGUGUGAGAGCACGGCCGCGACAUCGAGACUGAACACUGCUCGGACUCCUACGGGAGGCUGCAGUAACGAAUAUUCCGCAAUGGGCGCAAGCCUGACGGAGCAAUGCCGCGUGCGGGAUGAAGCGGCUUCGCCGUGUAAACCGCUGUCAGGGAGCAGAAACACUGAUCGCUCCCAGAGGAAGAGACGGCUAACCCUGUGCCAGCAGCCGCGGUAAGACAGGGGUCUCAAGCGUUAAUCGGAAUCACUGGGCUUAAAGGGUGCGUAGCGGCCGAGCAAGUGUCCCGUGAAAUCCCACGGNUCAACCGUGGAAUUGCGGGGCAAACUGCCCGGCUCGAGGAAGGUAGAGGCCGGUAAACGAUAGGUGGAGCGGUGGAAUGCGUAAGAUCUAUCGGAAUGCCAAAAGGUGAAGACAGCCGGCUGGGCUUUUCCUGACGCUGAG
This 600-nucleotide ribosomal RNA is filed under the name uncultured bacterium. RNAcentral's name for it is "bacterial SSU rRNA". It matches the Rfam family "Bacterial small subunit ribosomal RNA", at positions 103 to 750 of the family's 1533-position model. The record is from RNAcentral.